This 496-nucleotide ribosomal RNA is filed under the name uncultured bacterium. RNAcentral's name for it is "partial 16S ribosomal RNA". It matches the Rfam family "Bacterial small subunit ribosomal RNA", at positions 28 to 507 of the family's 1533-position model. The record is from RNAcentral.
GAUGAACGCUGGCGGCGUGCCUAAUACAUGCAAGUCGAGCGAACAGAUGAGGAGCUUGCUCCUCUGACGUUAGCGGCGGACGGGUGAGUAACACGUGGAUAACCUACCUAUAAGACUGGGAUAACUUCGGGAAACCGGAGCUAAUACCGGAUAAUAUAUUGAACCGCAUGGUUCAAUAGUGAAAGACGGUUUUGCUGUCACUUAUAGAUGGAUCCGCGCCGCAUUAGCUAGUUGGUAAGGUAACGGCUUACCAAGGCAACGAUGCGUAGCCGACCUGAGAGGGUGAUCGGCCACACUGGAACUGAGACACGGUCCAGACUCCUACGGGAGGCAGCAGUAGGGAAUCUUCCGCAAUGGGCGAAAGCUUGACGGAGCAACGCCGCGUGAGUGAUGAAGGUCUUCGGAUCGUAAAACUCUGUUAUUAGGGAAGAACAAAUGUGUAGUAACUAUGCACGUCUUGACGGUACCUAAUCAGAAAGCCACGGCUAACUACGUG